Molecule: ribosomal RNA, 451 nt
Filed under: uncultured organism
Description: partial 16S ribosomal RNA
Rfam family: Bacterial small subunit ribosomal RNA
Source: RNAcentral
ACACUCCUACGGGAGGCAGCAGUGGGGAAUAUUGGACAAUGGGCGCAAGCCUGAUCCAGCCAUGCCGCGUGAGUGAUGAAGGCCCUAGGGUUGUAAAGCUCUUUCACCGGUGAAGAUAAUGACGGUAACCGGAGAAGAAGCCCCGGCUAACUUCGUGCCAGCAGCCGCGGUAAUACGACGGGGGCUAGCGUUGUUCGGAUUUACUGGGCGUAAAGCGCACGUAGGCGGACUAUUAAGUCAGGGGUGAAAUCCCGGGGCUCAACCCCGGAACUGCCUUUGAUACUGGUAGUCUUGAGUUCGAGAGAGGUGAGUGGAAUUCCGAGUGUAGAGGUGAAAUUCGUAGAUAUUCGGAGGAACACCAGUGGCGAAGGCGGCUCACUGGCUCGAUACUGACGCUGAGGUGCGAAAGCGUGGGGAGCAAACAGGAUUAGAAACCCGUGUAGUCCCAUGA